GUCCACUGAACCUUAUCAUUUAGAGGAAGGAGAAGUCGUAACAAGGUUUCCGUAGGUGAACCUGCGGAAGGAUCAUUGUCGAGACCCGCAAAGCAGACCCGCGAACCCGUUCGUCCCACGAAACGCGCGGGAGGACGACGCGGGCACGGUCGAACGCGCCGUCCCGAGUCGGAGACCCCGCUCCGUCGGCGAGCGCGCACGCGCCCGUCGCACGGCCCAACGAACCCCGGCGCGAGAAGCGUCAAGGAACACUCACAGCAUCGCUCGCCCCCCCGGUGCCCCGUUCGCGGUCGGCACCCCGGGGACAGGGCGCGCGUCGAAAUCGAAACGACUCUCGGCAACGGAUAUCUCGGCUCUCGCAUCGAUGAAGAACGCAGCAAAAUGCGAUACUUGGUGUGAAUUGCAGAAUCCCGUGAACCAUCGAGUUUUUGAACGCAAGUUGCGCCCGAGGACAUUGUGCCGAGGGCACGUCUGCCUGGGCGUCACGCACAUCGUCGCCCUCCGCCCCGACACGGGAUCGCGGGCGUUGGGCCGGACACUGGCCUCCCGUGCGCGUCCGCGCGCGGCCGGCCCAAAUGCGAUUCGGCGUCGACGCGAGCCGCGACAAUUGGUGGUUGAAGUCCUCAACUGGCGCGUUGUCGCGCGGGAUCGCGUCGCUCGGCCGGGUGCCUCGACCCCCCCGAAGGUGCUCACCGCACCUCGACGGCGACCCCAGGUCAGGCGGGAUCACCCGCUGAGUUUAAGCAUAUCAAUAAGCGGAGGA
RNAcentral lists this small RNA (763 nucleotides) under Olea capensis subsp. capensis. RNAcentral's name for it is "eukaryotic LSU rRNA". The stretch from base 330 to 485 matches the Rfam family "5.8S ribosomal RNA". The record is from RNAcentral. Lineage: Eukaryota; Viridiplantae; Streptophyta; Magnoliopsida; Lamiales; Oleaceae.